RNAcentral lists this ribosomal RNA (506 nucleotides) under uncultured bacterium. RNAcentral describes it as "bacterial SSU rRNA". It matches the Rfam family "Bacterial small subunit ribosomal RNA", at positions 19 to 518 of the family's 1533-position model. The record is from RNAcentral.
AUGGCUCAGGAUGAACGCUAGCGGCAGGCUUAACACAUGCAAGUCGAGGGGCAUCGGGAGUAGCAAUACUUGCCGGCGACCGGCGCAAGGGUGCGUAACGCGUGAGCAACAUGCCCGUAUCAGGGGGAUAAUCCAUGGAAACGUGGUCUAAUACCCCAUAGUAAUUAUGUAAGGCAUCUUAUAUAAUUUAAAGCUUUGGUGGAUACGGAUUGGCUCGCGUGACAUUAGCUGGAUGGUAAGGCAACGGCUUACCAUGGCUACGAUGUCUAGGGGUUCUGAGAGGAAGGUCCCCCCACACUGGAACUGAGACACGGUCCAGACUCCUACGGGAGGCAGCAGUGAGGAAUAUUGGACAAUGGAUGGAAAUCUGAUCCAGCCAUGCCGCGUGCAAGGAAGACGGCCCUAUGGGUUGUAAACUGCUUUUGUAUGGGAGCAAUAAGGGCUACGUGUAGUCCGAUGAGAGUACCAUACGAAUAAGCACCGGCUAACUCCGUGCCAGCCGCAGC